Molecule: ribosomal RNA, 639 nt
Filed under: Ornithocercus quadratus
Lineage: Eukaryota; Dinophyceae; Dinophysales; Dinophysaceae
Description: LSU rRNA
Rfam family: Eukaryotic large subunit ribosomal RNA
Source: RNAcentral
CAGGAUCCCCAUAGUAAUGGCGAAUGAACAGGGAUGAGCUCAGCAUGGAAAUUGGGGCCUGUGGCUUUGACUUGUAAUCUUGUGAGGCAUUGCCAACAGAGGCGCAGAUGUAAGUCUCUUGGAAAAGAGCAUCAAUGAGGGUGAGAGUCCUGCUUGUCAUUUGCAGCCCCCCUGUGCACGGUGUGCCUUCUAAGAGUCACGUUCCUCGGGAUUGGAGCGCAAAGUGGGUGGUAACUUUCAUCUGAAGCUAAACAAUGGUUUGGGACCGAUAGGAAACAAGUACCAUGAGGGAAAGGUGAAAAGGACUUUGGAAAGAGAGUUAAAAGUGCCUGAAAUUGCUGAAGGGGAAGCGAAUGGAACCAGUGGUGCUGGGUGAGAUUGUCACAUGCUCCAGGGAUUGGUUGCUGCAUCAGCGCAAGCGAUCUGGCAAUUGUUGAACUGCACGUGUGUGGUGUGUCUUGCCUUGUGUGUCAUUGUGGGUUUAUGCAUUAAGACAAUUCAAAGUGCAUGGCAAUAUGUUUCUGAAUCUAUGAAUGUGAUUUGUUAUGUUUAUGCAUAAGCUUCUUGCUGUCUGUCUGGCUGCAGAGCUCGCCGUCCCCAUUUUUUGGAGAGAUGAGUUGAGCAUUUCCUUCUGCACAG